This 482-nucleotide ribosomal RNA is filed under the name uncultured bacterium. RNAcentral describes it as "partial 16S ribosomal RNA". It matches the Rfam family "Bacterial small subunit ribosomal RNA", at positions 28 to 507 of the family's 1533-position model. The record is from RNAcentral.
GACGAACGCUGGCGGCGUGCUUAACACAUGCAAGUCGAACGCUGAAGCUCAGCUUGCUGGGUGGAUGAGUGGCGAACGGGUGAGUAACACGUGAGUAACCUGCCCUCUUCUUUGGGAUAACGCCCGGAAACGGGUGCUAAUACUGGAUAUUCACUGAUUCUCGCAUGGGGGUUGGUGGAAAGGUUUUUUCUGGUGGGGGAUGGGCUCGCGGCCUAUCAGCUUGUUGGUGGGGUGAUGGCCUACCAAGGCUUUGACGGGUAGCCGGCCUGAGAGGGUGACCGGUCACAUUGGGACUGGGAUACGGCCCAGACUCCUACGGGAGGCAGCAGUGGGGAAUAUUGCACAAUGGGCGGAAGCCUGAUGCAGCGACGCCGCGUGAGGGAUGGAGGCCUUCGGGUUGUAAACCUCUUUCGCUCAUGGUCAAGCCGCAGCUUUGGGUUGUGGUGAGGGUAGUGGGUAAAGAAGCGCCGGCUAACUACGUG